This 106-nucleotide small nucleolar RNA is filed under the name Arabidopsis lyrata subsp. lyrata. RNAcentral describes it as "snoRNA Plant_U3". It matches the Rfam family "Plant small nucleolar RNA U3", at positions 1 to 105 of the family's 221-position model. From Rfam's summary of the family: Small nucleolar RNAs (snoRNAs) are involved in the processing and modification of rRNA in the nucleolus. There are two main classes of snoRNAs: the box C/D class, and the box H/ACA class. The record is from Rfam by way of RNAcentral. Lineage: Eukaryota; Viridiplantae; Streptophyta; Magnoliopsida; Brassicales; Brassicaceae.
ACGACCUUACUUGAAUAAGAUCUGUUCUAUAGGCUCGUACCUCUGUUUCCUUGAUUUCUAAGGAGACAGGCCCUUAACCCUGGUUAAUAAAUAAAUAAUUUAGAAA